RNAcentral lists this ribosomal RNA (382 nucleotides) under uncultured bacterium. RNAcentral describes it as "bacterial SSU rRNA". It matches the Rfam family "Bacterial small subunit ribosomal RNA", at positions 28 to 412 of the family's 1533-position model. The record is from RNAcentral.
GACGAACGCUGGCGGCGUGCUUAACACAUGCAAGUCGAGCGGUAAGGCCCUUUCGGGGGUACACGAGCGGCGAACGGGUGAGUAACACGUGGGUGACCUGCCCUCAGCUCUGGGAUAAGCCUGGGAAACCGGGUCUAAUACCGGAUAUGACUCCAUGACGCAUGUUGUGGGGUGAAAGCCUUGUGCGGCUGAGGAUGGGCCCGCGGCCUAUCAGCUUGUUGGUGGGGUGAUGGCCUACCAAGGCGACGACGGGUAGCCGGCCUGAGAGGGCGACCGGCCACACUGGGACUGAGACACGGCCCAGACUCCUACGGGAGGCAGCAGUGGGGAAUCUUGCGCAAUGGGCGAAAGCCUGACGCAGCGACGCCGCGUGAGGGAUGAC